CCUUCGGGAUGAUUUGUUGGACGCUAGCGGCGGAUGGGUGAGUAACACGUGGGCAAUCUGCCCUAAAGACUGGGAUACCACUUGGAAACAGGUGCUAAUACCGGAUAACAACAUGAAUCGCAUGAUUCAAGUUUGAAAGGCGGCGCAAGCUGUCACUUUAGGAUGAGCCCGCGGCGCAUUAGCUAGUUGGUGGGGUAAAGGCCUACCAAGGCAAUGAUGCGUAGCCGAGUUGAGAGACUGAUCGGCCACAUUGGGACUGAGACACGGCCCAAACUCCUACGGGAGGCAGCAGUAGGGAAUCUUCCACAAUGGACGCAAGUCUGAUGGAGCAACGCCGCGUGAGUGAAGAAGGUUUUCGGAUCGUAAAGCUCUGUUGUUGGUGAAGAAGGAUAGAGGCAGUAACUGGUCUUUAUUUGACGGUAAUCAACCAGAAAGUCACGGCUAACUACGUGCCAGCAGCCGCGGUAAUACGUAGGUGGCAAGCGUUGUCCGGAUUUAUUGGGCGUAAAGCGAGCGCAGGCGGAAUGAUAAGUCUGAUGUGAAAGCCCACGGCUCAACCGUGGAACUGCAUCGGAAACUGUCAUUCUUGAGUGCAGAAGAGGAGAGUGGAAUUCCAUGUGUAGCGGUGGAAUGCGUAGAUAUAUGGAAGAACACCAGUGGCGAAGGCGGCUCUCUGGUCUGCAACUGACGCUGAGGCUCGAAAGCAUGGG
This 710-nucleotide ribosomal RNA is filed under the name Lactobacillus delbrueckii subsp. bulgaricus. Its description in RNAcentral is "bacterial SSU rRNA". It matches the Rfam family "Bacterial small subunit ribosomal RNA", at positions 77 to 765 of the family's 1533-position model. Lineage: Bacteria; Bacillati; Bacillota; Bacilli; Lactobacillales; Lactobacillaceae. The record is from RNAcentral.